This 420-nucleotide ribosomal RNA is filed under the name bacterium. Its description in RNAcentral is "partial 16S ribosomal RNA". It matches the Rfam family "Bacterial small subunit ribosomal RNA", at positions 355 to 776 of the family's 1533-position model. The record is from RNAcentral.
UGGGGGAUAUUGCACAAUGGGCGAAAGCCUGAUGCAGCGACGCCGCGUGGGGGAUGAAGGCUUUCGGGUUGUAAACCUCUUUCGCUAUCGAACAAGGCCCGCUUAGGGUGGGUUGAGGGUAGGUGGAGAAGAAGCGCCGGCUAACUACGUGCCAGCAGCCGCGGUAAUACGUAGGGCGCGAGCGUUGUCCGGAAUUAUUGGGCGUAAAGGGCUUGUAGGCGGCUUGUUGCGCCUGCUGUGAAAACGCGGGGCUUAACUUCGCGCGUGCAGUGGGUACGGGCAGGCUUGAGUGUGGUAGGGGUGACUGGAAUUCCAGGUGUAGCGGUGGAAUGCGCAGAUAUCUGGAGGGACACCGAGGGCGAAGGCAGGUCACUGGGCCAUUACUGACGCUGAGGAGCGAAAGCAUGGGUAGCGAACAGG